Notolabrus celidotus (New Zealand spotty) is the source of this 933-nucleotide long non-coding RNA. RefSeq lists it as uncharacterized. The transcript has 3 exons. Lineage: Eukaryota; Metazoa; Chordata; Actinopteri; Labriformes; Labridae. The record is from RefSeq and is a predicted model, not a curated record.
AGCUUCUUACCUGGAUCUCCUGACAUGUCGCUGCACUCUUCCUGUCAUCCUCCAGCUGUUGUUCGAUAAGCCCAACGCCGAGUCCGAAGGCCAGAAACACGGCCCUGUUUCUCGGGGACCCCCCUCCAAACCUCCUCCUGAACCCGGCGGACUGAAGCUGGGCAGCCAGGCCCCUCAGCGAGGUGCGGUAGUAGCGGUACCGAGACGGCAGGAAAGCCUGAGGCUGAACGGUGCGGACCGACGGGCCUACACGGAGACGGUCAACUCGGAGCUUUGCUGCGACUCGGCCCCCGGACUUUAACAGACCCACAUGGAGGACCGACCGGCCCAGCUCCAGCCCCCGGGAUAGAGCGUGUUUCACAGACAUAACUUACCCAGAGAGCUGAUCUCCUGAAGAAGGGGAGUCUCUCAUGACAUUAAGGAUCACACAAGCUUACCAACACAGAACUUCAGGAUGGGUUAAUGAUCCUGACAUUUAUCAUAUGAUUGAGUUUUCUGCUCACACCAUGGGACAUGGAGGUAUUCAUGAAGGAAACGCCUCUAAAGGGUCAUCACUAAUACCAAGUUUCUAAGUCUCUUGAUGUGGUAAAAACUUAAGCAAAGUCUGAAGUGUUGAAAGAUACAAUUAAAAAACAACAUUUUCUGUUUCAUGUUAUGGUUUAACUCAAAGUCCUCAAUGACAACUUUGAGGUACUAAUUCAAAUCUAAUUUAAACACAGAGAUGUUUUCCAGUCUUAAUUAAAAACCCACUUAUUCAGGAAGGCUUUUAGUGGAUUUUCGCAGAACUUUUAAUGCUUUUAUGGAUCAUGUAACCACUGUAAUUUUUAUGCUGCCUAUUGGUUUUAUCUUUCUUUUCUGUAUGUCUUGUCUUUGUAAAGCACUUUGUGACUUUUGUCUGUGAAAAGCGCUAUAUAAAUAAAGUUUACUUACUUA